AUGAACGCUGGCGGCGUGCCUAACACAUGCAAGUCGAACGGAGAUUAGACGCUGAUGAGGCUUCGGCGGAUUCUUGUUAAUCUUAGUGGCGGACGGGUGAGUAACGCGUGGGCAACCUGCCUCAUACUGGGGGAUAGCAGUUGGAAACGACUGAUAAUACCGCAUAAGCGCACUAGAGUCGCAUGACUCAGUGUGAAAAACUCCGGUGGUAUGAGAUGGGCCCGCGUCAGAUUAGCUAGUUGGUAAGGUAACGGCUUACCAAGGCGACGAUCUGUAGCCGGACUGAGAGGUCGGACGGCCACAUUGGGACUGAGACACGGCCCAAACUCCUACGGGAGGCAGCAGUGGGGGAUAUUGCACAAUGGAGGAAACUCUGAUGCAGCGACGCCGCCGUGAGUGAAGAAGUAUUUCGGUAUGUAAAGCUCUAUCAGCAGGGAAGAAAGGCCCGCAAGGGAGAUGACGGUACCUGACUAAGAAGCCCCGGCUAACUACGUGCCAGCCGCAGC
Molecule: ribosomal RNA, 506 nt
Filed under: uncultured bacterium
Lineage: Bacteria
Description: bacterial SSU rRNA
Rfam family: Bacterial small subunit ribosomal RNA
Source: RNAcentral